AGUGAUCUAACCUUCGCCAACAUUUUCAAGUCCCACGCUAACUGGAACCCCUUGCUGCUUCGCUGACGAGUGGAGGACGGGUGAGUAAUGUCUGGGAAGCUGCCUGAUGGACGCGGAAAACUACGGGAAACUGUAGCUAAUACCGCAUAAUGUCGCAAGACCAAAGAGGGGGACCUUCGGGCCUCUUGCCAUCGGAUGUGCCCAGAUGGGAUUAGCUUGUUGGUGGGGUAACGGCUCACCAAGGCGACGAUCCCUAUCUGGUCUGAGAGGAUGACCAGCCACUCUGGAACUUAUACACGGUCCACACUCCUACGGGUGGCAGUAGUGGCGAAUAUUGCACAAUGGUACCAAGUCUUAUUCUCCCAUGCCGCGUGUAUGAUAAAGGCCUUCCGGUUGUAAAUUUCUCUCUCGGUCC
Molecule: ribosomal RNA, 415 nt
Filed under: uncultured bacterium
Lineage: Bacteria
Description: bacterial SSU rRNA
Rfam family: Bacterial small subunit ribosomal RNA
Source: RNAcentral